UGCAAUGUAUUUUAUCGAAAAUGCUUAUUUUACACGUAAGAGAACCUUGGUUGAGGCUUUGUGA
Molecule: transfer RNA, 64 nt
Filed under: Bothridium pithonis
Lineage: Eukaryota; Metazoa; Platyhelminthes; Cestoda; Diphyllobothriidea; Diphyllobothriidae
Description: tRNA-Val
Source: RNAcentral